This is a long non-coding RNA of Dreissena polymorpha, 584 nucleotides long. RefSeq lists it as uncharacterized. The transcript is spliced from 5 exons. NCBI's taxonomy places the organism in Eukaryota, Metazoa, Mollusca, Bivalvia, Myida, Dreissenidae. The record is from RefSeq and is a predicted model, not a curated record.
AAAACAUUUUACAUAAAUUGUAGAUCCUACUCAUUACCGGAGAUAAGAACAGUGUCGUGUGUAUGGACAUAUGCAAGCGCCGAAGGUCAGCAACACGUGUCGAUGCCGUGAUAAACGUUGCAGUAAACGGGGCAUAUAUACAAACCACAUCAUAAGCGAAAUUCACAACAACUUGAAAACGUUGUUAUCCAGUUUGAUAUUUAACAACACUUAAGGCUGUAAAUGAACCCUUCUUGGAUCUGUGUUGCCGUAGUCUGUAUGGUGACAGUAGGCAUGUCUGUCGGCGUCUGCGGGUGUUAUCACGACUACCAGCCAGUUUGCGGUGUCGAUGCAACGUAGAAAAGGCAUAUGACGGCGAGUGCCGUAAUCCACCGUGUCUGUGUUCAUCAACCAUCCCGUCCCCUGUGUGCGGCAACGACGGGCUGACCUAUAAAAAUGUGUGUCUGAUGACAUGCAACGGUGCGACUGAGGCUCAUCCGGGCAGUUGUUAUACGUGGUUUGAGAUCCUCCAAUACAAGUCGACGGAAACGGAAUUUUUAUUGCGUGCAAUAAAAUGUGAAGCAUUAUUAAAAUGUUGUUGUUUA